This 719-nucleotide long non-coding RNA is filed under the name Oncorhynchus kisutch (coho salmon). RNAcentral describes it as "lncRNA (ENSOKIG00005009986.1)". Lineage: Eukaryota; Metazoa; Chordata; Actinopteri; Salmoniformes; Salmonidae. The record is from RNAcentral.
GUCAUAUUUAGUGCCGCUAGUGAAAUCGUAGCAGGCAGAGGAGUGAAAGAUUAGUCUACGCAGAAGCAUUGAAAGAACUGUUCAAAUACCGAAGGGUGAUUUUUUGUAAAAGUUUUUUUGUCCCCGCACUCGACAGCAACAUACGAGCGGAUUAUGAUUGUCAAGAACUUGAAGAAGCGUGAGAGAAGAUAAAGUACCUAACGUUGAUCCUUGGAUAAAGGCAUAUCACCUAGUAGUCGCCUACCUAACUACCAACGGGAAAAGUUGACUCGUCCGUGCUACUGCAGGGUAAGAUGAAGGGAAUGGGCGGGCUCAUAGAGCUGGUGUCCAGCACUGGCUCUCAGGUGUUCGUCACCAUGAAGCACUCAGCUAAGCAGAUGAGAUUGUUCUUCCUGGCCAUGGAGACGACGGCAACUUGUUCCAGUAACCAUUCCUGCAAGCUGAAUUGAAAUAAUUGUUCAUUAUUUUUGCCAUCUUUCAUGCCAUCCAGUAAUGUGUAUAGUCAAAUCAAACUGAUCUUUCUUUAAUGUUUGAGUUUUUAUAUUGGUUGUUGACAGUUCAUAAUCAUACUUAAAUGUAUGCUAUAUUUCUCCAAUUUAAAUGUGUCUAUUAUUGUAUAAAAAUGUAUUCUAGUAAUGAUUAUUUAAUGCAAACAAUACCAGCAGUUUAAAAAAUAAUAAACACAUUGCAAAUCUCUUUUGAAACAACCGAGCUGAGUG